Molecule: ribosomal RNA, 944 nt
Filed under: Streptomyces sp. 1C1
Lineage: Bacteria; Bacillati; Actinomycetota; Actinomycetes; Kitasatosporales; Streptomycetaceae
Description: bacterial SSU rRNA
Rfam family: Bacterial small subunit ribosomal RNA
Source: RNAcentral
GCGUGCUUACCAUGCAGUCGAACGAUGAACCACCUUCGGGUGGGGAUUAGUGGCGAACGGGUGAGUAACACGUGGGCAAUCUGCCCUGCACUCUGGGACAAGCCCUGGAAACGGGGUCUAAUACCGGAUACUGACCUGCCAAGGCAUCUUGGCGGGUCGAAAGCUCCGGCGGUGCAGGAUGAGCCCGCGGCCUAUCAGCUUGUUGGUGAGGUAAUGGCUCACCAAGGCGACGACGGGUAGCCGGCCUGAGAGGGCGACCGGCCACACUGGGACUGAGACACGGCCCAGACUCCUACGGGAGGCAGCAGUGGGGAAUAUUGCACAAUGGGCGAAAGCCUGAUGCAGCGACGCCGCGUGAGGGAUGACGGCCUUCGGGUUGUAAACCUCUUUCAGCAGGGAAGAAGCGAAAGUGACGGUACCUGCAGAAGAAGCGCCGGCUAACUACGUGCCAGCAGCCGCGGUAAUACGUAGGGCGCAAGCGUUGUCCGGAAUUAUUGGGCGUAAAGAGCUCGUAGGCGGCUUGUCGCGUCGGUUGUGAAAGCCCGGGGCUUAACCCCGGGUCUGCAGUCGAUACGGGCAGGCUAGAGUUCGGUAGGGGAGAUCGGAAUUCCUGGUGUAGCGGUGAAAUGCGCAGAUAUCAGGAGGAACACCGGUGGCGAAGGCGGAUCUCUGGGCCGAUACUGACGCUGAGGAGCGAAAGCGUGGGGAGCGAACAGGAUUAGAUACCCUGGUAGUCCACGCCGUAAACGGUGGGCACUAGGUGUGGGCAACAUUCCACGUUGUCCGUGCCGCAGCUAACGCAUUAAGUGCCCCGCCUGGGGAGUACGGCCGCAAGGCUAAACUCAAAGGAAUUGACGGGGGCCCGCACAAGCGGCGGAGCAUGUGGCUUAAUCGACGCAACGCGAAGAACCUUACCAAGGCUUGACAUACACGGAAACGUUCAG